This 253-nucleotide ribosomal RNA is filed under the name uncultured bacterium. RNAcentral's name for it is "partial 16S ribosomal RNA". It matches the Rfam family "Bacterial small subunit ribosomal RNA", at positions 524 to 776 of the family's 1533-position model. The record is from RNAcentral.
UACGUAGGUGGCAAGCGUUGUUCGGAAUUACUGGGCGUAAAGCGUGCGCAGGCGGUUGUGCAAGACAGAUGUGAAAUCCCCGGGCUUAACCUGGGAACUGCAUUUGUGACUGCACAGCUAGAGUGUGUCAGAGGGGGGUAGAAUUCCACGUGUAGCAGUGAAAUGCGUAGAUAUGUGGAGGAAUACCGAUGGCGAAGGCAGCCCCCUGGGCCAACACUGACGCUCAUGCACGAAAGCGUGGGGAGCAAACAGG